UUAGGAAUCUGCCUAGUAGUGGGGGAUAACUAUCCGAAAGGAUAGCUAAUACCGCAUAGACCUACGGGUGAAAGGGGGCGUAAGCUCUCGCUAUUAGAUGAGCCUAAGUCGGAUUAGCUAGUUGGUGGGGUAAAGGCCUACCAAGGCGACGAUCUGUAGCUGGUCUGAGAGGAUGAUCAGCCACACUGGGACUGAGACACGGCCCAGACUCCUACGGGAGGCAGCAGUGGGGAAUAUUGGACAAUGGGCGAAAGCCUGAUCCAGCCAUGCCGCGUGUGUGAAGAAGGCCUUUUGGUUGUAAAGCACUUUAAGUGGGGAGGAAAAGCUAAUAGCUAAUACCUAUUAGCCCUGACGUUACCCACAGAAUAAGCACCGGCUAACUCUGUGCCAGCAGCCGCGGUAAUACAGAGGGUGCAAGCGUUAAUCGGAAUUACUGGGCGUAAAGCGCGCGUAGGUGGUUACUUAAGUCAGAUGUGAAAGCCCCGGGCUUAACCUGGGAACUGCAUCUGAUACUGGGUAACUAGAGUAGGUGAGAGGGAAGUAGAAUUCCAGGUGUAGCGGUGAAAUGCGUAGAGAUCUGGAGGAAUACCGAUGGCGAAGGCAGCUUCCUGGCAUCAUACUGACACUGAGGUGCGAAAGCGUGGGUAGCAAACAGGAUUAGAUACCCUGGUAGUCCACGCCGUAAACGAUGUCUACCAGUCGUUGGGUCU
Molecule: ribosomal RNA, 710 nt
Filed under: uncultured denitrifying bacterium
Lineage: Bacteria
Description: bacterial SSU rRNA
Rfam family: Bacterial small subunit ribosomal RNA
Source: RNAcentral